Molecule: ribosomal RNA, 666 nt
Filed under: Apopempsis sp. UPOL001215
Lineage: Eukaryota; Metazoa; Arthropoda; Insecta; Coleoptera; Cleridae
Also listed under: 1 other name
Description: eukaryotic LSU rRNA
Rfam family: Eukaryotic large subunit ribosomal RNA
Source: RNAcentral
UGAAACACGGACCAAGGAGUCUAGCAUGUGCGCGAGUCAUUGGGAAUCACUAAACCUAAAGGCGCAAUGAAAGUGAAGGCCCGCCUAGCGCGGGCCGAGGGAAGAUGGGCGGUCACGGUUUCCGUGCCGCUCCGCACUCCCGGGGCGUCUCAUUCUCAUUGCGAGAAGAGGCGCACCAAGAGCGUACACGCUGGGACCCGAAAGAUGGUGAACUAUGCCUGGUCAGGACGAAGUCAGGGGAAACCCUGAUGGAGGUCCGUAGCGAUUCUGACGUGCAAAUCGAUCGUCGGAACUGGGUAUAGGGGCGAAAGACUAAUCGAACCAUCUAGUAGCUGGUUCCCUCCGAAGUUUCCCUCAGGAUAGCUGGCGCUCGUCGCCUACGAGUCUCAUCCGGUAAAGCGAAUGAUUAGAGGCAUUGGGGUCGAAACGGCCUCAACCUAUUCUCAAACUUUAAAUGGGUGAGAUCUCCGGCUUGCUCGAACUUAUGAAGCCGCGAGACACGGAUCAGAGUGCCAAGUGGGCCAUUUUUGGUAAGCAGAACUGGCGCUGUGGGAUGAACCAAACGCCGAGUUAAAGCGCCUAAAUCGACGCUUAUGGGAUACCAUGAAAGGCGUUGGUAACUUAAGACAGCAGGACGGUGGCCAUGGAAGUCGGAAUCCGCUAAGA